AACGAACGCUGGCGGCAUGCCUAACACAUGCAAGUCGAACGGAUGGUAGCAAUACCAUCAGUGGCAGACGGGUGCGUAACGCGUGGGAACCUACCCAGAGGUUCGGAAUAACUGCGGGAAACUGCAGCUAAUACCGAAUGUUGCCUGAGGGCUAAAGGAGCAAUCCGCCUUCGGAGGGGCCGCGUCCGAUUAGCUAGUUGGUGAGGUAACGGCUCACCAAGGCGACGAUCGGUAGCUGGUCUGAGAGGAUGGCCAGCCACACUGGAACUGAGACACGGUCCAGACUCCUACGGGAGGCAGCAGUGGGGAAUAUUGGACAAUGGGCGCAAGCCUGAUCCAGCCAUGCCGCGUGAGUGAAGAAGGCCU
RNAcentral lists this ribosomal RNA (366 nucleotides) under uncultured bacterium. RNAcentral's name for it is "bacterial SSU rRNA". It matches the Rfam family "Bacterial small subunit ribosomal RNA", at positions 29 to 417 of the family's 1533-position model. The record is from RNAcentral.